Molecule: ribosomal RNA, 229 nt
Filed under: uncultured bacterium
Lineage: Bacteria
Description: partial 16S ribosomal RNA
Rfam family: Bacterial small subunit ribosomal RNA
Source: RNAcentral
UGGGCAACCUGCCCCUGGCUCUGGGAUAACUCCAAGAAAUUGGGGCUAAUACCGGAUACGAACUUCAGCCGCAUGGCUAGGAGUUGGAAACGAAUUUUCGGUCUGGGAUGGACUCGCGGCCUAUCAGCUAGUUGGUGGGUAACGGCCCACCAAGGCGACGACGGGUUAGCCGGCCUGAGAGGGCGACCGGCCACACUGGGACUGAGACACGGCCCAGACUCCUGCGGGA